UACGUAGGGGGCGAGCGUUGUUCGGAAUCACUGGGCGUAAAGGGCUCGUAGGCGGCCAACUAAGUCAGACGUGAAAUCCCUCGGCUUAACCGGGGAACUGCGUCUGAUACUGGAUGGCUUGAGGUUGGGAGAGGGAUGCGGAAUUCCAGGUGUAGCGGUGAAAUGCGUAGAUAUCUGGAGGAACACCGGUGGCGAAGGCGGCAUCCUGGACCAAUUCUGACGCUGAGGAGCGAAAGCCAGGGGAGCAAACGGG
Molecule: ribosomal RNA, 253 nt
Filed under: uncultured bacterium
Lineage: Bacteria
Description: partial 16S ribosomal RNA
Rfam family: Bacterial small subunit ribosomal RNA
Source: RNAcentral